This 250-nucleotide ribosomal RNA is filed under the name uncultured prokaryote. RNAcentral's name for it is "partial 16S ribosomal RNA". It matches the Rfam family "Bacterial small subunit ribosomal RNA", at positions 524 to 773 of the family's 1533-position model. The record is from RNAcentral.
UACGGGGGGUGCAAGCGUUGUCCGGAAUCAUUGGGCGUAAAGAGUUCGUAGGUGGCAUGUAAAGUCUGGUGUUAAAUGCAGAGGCUUAACUUCCGUUCGGCGCUGGAUACUUGCAAGCUAGAAUGCGGUAGAGGUAAAGGGAAUUCCUGGUGUAGCGGUGAAAUGCGUAGAUAUCAGGAGGAACAUCGGUGGCGUAAGCGCUUUACUGGGCCGUAAUUGACACUGAGGAACGAAAGCCGGGGUAGCAAAU